UGAAAACCCUAGCACCAUCCACGGCGCGGUGAAAAAUAUCCCCUUUCUUCUCCGCCGUCAAUUUUCCUCGUCUCUCCCUCCACCAUGCGCCUCAACUCCGCCGCCACCUCUCCUCGGAUGUCCGCCCACGGUCUGCCCAGAGGGACAGAGGGGGCCACCAAGCGACGGCAGAGCGGGUUCAUAGAGACGGAGAGGGUGAGUCCAUGGCCAGACGAGGGAGGAAGACAGAUGGCGGGGUGGAUCGGGUGCCCUAGGCCUAUGCUGUCGGCCUCCUCGUGCUGCUCACCAUCUCCGUCGCCGUCCUCAUCGCCAUCUGCCACUCCUCCUUCCCCCUGCCCAGACCGCGGGAAGAAGCCGAGAAGGGAGGCCGACCGGCGGCAGCCACGCUCGACAACAUCCUCGCCUUCGCAUCAAGGGAGAGGAAGUCGCCUCUGCGUCCCUCAUCUGUGAGUUUCUUUUCGGGCCACCGACUCCACGGAGCUUGUCAAGAUGGUUGUUACGCAGAUGGUUGUUGUUGUGCUCUUUGUUCGUGUUCGUGCUUGUGUAGCUCCCACUCUGCUGCAGGAGGAUUGGGUUGGAUUGGUUUCCACUUGCCCUGUUCUCUGUUUGAGAACCUGAGAUGCAGCCCUCCAAAUCUUGGGCCCUAGGAAAGGGAGAUUUGUUUUGCUUCUACUCUACAUUCACUGUUGUUAUCUUCACUUUGCCACUCAUGGACGCUUCUUUGUUUCUUUUUUAUGCAUGUGUGGUCUGGGUGACAGGAGAACAAGUUCCUCAAGUUAAUGUGGAAUCCAUUCUCAACUUGUUACCACAGGGGUAAGCCCCCGAGUCAUACAUACAUCUCAACUUGUGAACAUUUUUUUAGCCAAUCUUGUUUGCUGCAUACACAAUUACAGUUCAGGAUAGAAAACAGAUUGUAUAUUGUGAUAUACAGUUCUUGGUCGCAGGUCUGUAGUUGUGUCAUGUGCGUUCAUUGCAGGUGCUCCUCUCCUCCCCAGCUCUCUCCCCCCUCUCUCUUUCUCUCUUCACAUGUACUAUCUCCUGAUUUUAGAUCUUUCUCAUCUUUUUUGACCAUCCCCUGCCAUGUGUGAGAACAAGGAGUAAUACUGCUCAUGUUUUUACAUCCUAAUUGAUUAUAUUUUGUACAACAGCUUGUUCUUUUAAUGGUAGUUUGUUACCUGCUUAGUUAUUCUGUUAUUGACAUGGUCAUUCCAUUUUUAUGACAAUAAAUGAGCUAUUUAAGUCCAGUCUCAUGGUUUUUUAUUGCUGCUGUUUCUCGUUGGAUAUUCAGGAAUCAAAUUGACAACACAUAUUCUAUAGGUGUUCCUAAUAGCAACAGUGGUAAUCAACAACGAGAAAAAAAAAGUGUGGGGCUGGAUUUGUACUAGCUUGUGCAGUCUUUGCCAAUCUAUAAGCGUUAUUUCGCUGGUUAAAAUAUUUUAAAGGAUGAGCAGUACAGUGGAGGGGAUUGUGUGGCAGUCCAAGGAAGUCUCUAGGAGAAUGCAGUUUUCUGGGUCCAGCUUUUUAACCCUGGACUUUCCGUGGAAGGAUACGUACAUCUGCCUUAUUCGAUAACCAAAACUGGAUGCUCUACCAAGCACCUGUCCAGCCCUGUGUGAGCUACACUUCAAUUUGUAUUCUCAGCAAACCAAAAGAAAUGAUGCUGACAUUCCGGUCAGAUGAAGUGAUUUGUUCAAGCCACAACAAUAAAGAGAAGAUGGAAUAUGUGGUGAGCUAUCUCAAAAAAGUCCGAAGCCAUUCAUCUUUGGGACCAAGCUGUAUGCACGUAGCUGGGCUCUCCAUGGGCAGCAGAUGGAAUAUGUGGCGAGCUAUCUCAAAAAAGUCCGAAGCCAUUCAUCUUUGGGACCAAGCUGUAUGCACGUAGCUGGGCUCUCCAUGGGCAGCAUGGCGCUGGUGAACACCAACAAAGCCUUUGACGCUCUCCUAAAUUAUGAGAACUGUUCCUUCAGAUGCAUGCCAAAACAUCUUCGUCUCACUAUUCACUCCCUGGAGACAUCGUCAUUAAUCUGUAUUGUCACCUAUAGCUUGUAUGGCAAACUUCAUGUUCAUAAUGUUUUUGUGCCAUGUGUGAUGCGCUCAGCAGUUGGUUAUAUUCCCUUGUGGAUUAUUGUUUCCUAUAAAGAGUGGAUCAUCCAUCUAAACUACUAUACAAGUAUCAAUGCAGAUGACCUUAAUUAUCUUUC
Long non-coding RNA from Triticum aestivum (bread wheat), 2201 nucleotides. RefSeq lists it as uncharacterized. The record is from RefSeq and is a predicted model, not a curated record. The transcript is spliced from 7 exons. NCBI's taxonomy places the organism in Eukaryota, Viridiplantae, Streptophyta, Magnoliopsida, Poales, Poaceae.